AUUGAACGCUGGCGGCAGGCCUAACACAUGCAAGUCGAGCGGAGCGGCGGACGGGUGCGUAAUGCCGAGGAAUCUGCCUGGUAGUGGGGGAUAACGUCCGGAAACGGGCGCUAAUACCGCAUACUAUCAGAUGAGCCUAGGUCGGAUUAGCUAGUGGUUGGGGUAAAGGCCUACCAAGGCGACGAUCCGUAACUGGUCUGAGAGGAUGAGCAGGCACACUGGAAUUGAGACGCGGUCCAGACUCAUACGGGAGGCGACAUUGGAGAAUAUUGGACAAUGGGCGAAGGCCUUGUCCAGCCAUGCCGCGUGUGGUAAGAAGGUCUUCGGAUUGUAAAGCACUUUUAGUUGGGAGGCGUUACCAACAGAAUAAGCACCGGCUAACUUCGUGCCAGCAGCCGCGGUAAUUC
This 407-nucleotide ribosomal RNA is filed under the name uncultured bacterium. Its description in RNAcentral is "partial 16S ribosomal RNA". It matches the Rfam family "Bacterial small subunit ribosomal RNA", at positions 30 to 526 of the family's 1533-position model. The record is from RNAcentral.